GACGAACGCUGGCGGCGUGCCUAAUACAUGCAAGUAGGACGCUGAAGGAGGAGCUUGCUUCUCUGGAUGAGUUGCGAACGGGUGAGUAACGCGUAGGUAACCUGCCUGGUAGCGGGGGAUAACUAUUGGAAACGAUAGCUAAUACCGCAUAAUAGUAGAUGUUGCAUGACAUUUGCUUAAAAGGUGCAAUUGCAUCACUACCAGAUGGACCUGCGUUGUAUUAGCUAGUUGGUGGGGUAACGGCUCACCAAGGCGACGAUACAUAGCCGACCUGAGAGGGUGAUCGGCCACACUGGGACUGAGACACGGCCCAGACUCCUACGGGAGGCAGCAGUAGGGAAUCUUCGGCAAUGGACGGAAGUCUGACCGAGCAACGCCGCGUGAGUGAAGAAGGUUGUCGGAUCGUAAAGCUCUGUUGUAAGAGAAGAACGAGUGUGAGAGUGGAAAGUUCACACUGUGACGGUAGCUUACCAGAAAGGGACGGCUAACUACGUG
RNAcentral lists this ribosomal RNA (495 nucleotides) under uncultured bacterium. RNAcentral describes it as "partial 16S ribosomal RNA". It matches the Rfam family "Bacterial small subunit ribosomal RNA", at positions 28 to 507 of the family's 1533-position model. The record is from RNAcentral.